This 1108-nucleotide long non-coding RNA is filed under the name Lynx pardinus (Iberian lynx). Lineage: Eukaryota; Metazoa; Chordata; Mammalia; Carnivora; Felidae. The record is from RNAcentral.
AGGCAGAACUUGAGCCCUUUUGAGUAACAGGUACCACAUUUGCUUCAUUAGGAGUGCCCCUGACCAGCAAUGGAAAAGAAAGGGAACAUACUGCAGUUUCAAUUGUUGUGGGACUCAGGUUUUCUCUCAGCACUGCAUAUACACUUGGAGACAUGGGAAGAAGAUCUGUUGGAGAAUGUGGCUCAGUUGAAUCACUUCGGCUUAAAGAGAUAACAAAGUACAUAUUGAAAAGGAUUAAAUGGAACUCAUUUCUAGGGCUUCAUCUAUUUGUGACAUGGAGAUGCCUAAUUCAUUGUCUGAAAUGAGAGCACUCAGCCUAUUAUGGAAUAUACAGCAUAUAGAAGGGCAACUUUAUAAUUCCAGUUAUGGUAGACUAUGGAGCAUUCUGAAGAGUCGCUUUAUGUAUUAAAGAAAAUGGGACAUUGAGCAUUGAAAUGCUUUAUUGUCAGGUAUAUGUACUCUGCUCUAUCCUUCAAUUUCCUGUAGAGAACCUUAGUUUUUAAAAAAUAAAUUCAAUAAUAGAUAUUUUACAUGUGGCUAAGGUUACUUACAUUGUUGAAAUGGGGAUAAAUACAGAUGGAACAUAACCUUUGUCCCCCCUUUCUGUUGGUCUUGAGACUAGAAAAGAAAGGCAGGAUAAAAUGUUACCAAUAUUAUUGAUAAAAUUAUUAAAGAGUCUAGAAAAAUAUAAGUAAUGUUAAAAAGAAGAGAGAUAAUAUGAUUGCUUAGCGAUUCACAAAAAUUUUUAGCUGAAUAGAUGAAACAGUAUUUUAGAGAACCUGAAAUGUGCCAGAAGAGAAAAACAAAUCUCUUGACAGGCCUAAUCUGACUUUGCAUAUUGCUGUCUCCAAAAUGCAUGGGAAAAAUUGAGAGUGAGCUAUAUUACCUAUCUUCUAUCUUCUAUGUUAUGUUUAAGUUUGAUUGUAAAGACUGAUUUAUUUGUGUGCUGGAGGGAUUUAAGGUAACUCUAGGGCAGCAGCAAGUCACCAUCUGGGAGUUAACGACUGCAGGAUAUUUCACAAGAUGGUGCUCGUAGAUUUAGUGGCUAUCCAUGAACAUUGUAAUGGAUCAUAUAUGCUUUUAUUAGAGACACAGAAUGGUGAACUUA